Molecule: ribosomal RNA, 451 nt
Filed under: uncultured bacterium
Lineage: Bacteria
Description: partial 16S ribosomal RNA
Rfam family: Bacterial small subunit ribosomal RNA
Source: RNAcentral
GUGGGGAAUAUUGGACAAUGGGCGAAAGCCUGAUCCAGCCAUGCCGCGUGUGUGAAGAAGGUCUUCGGAUUGUAAAGCACUUUAAGUUGGGAGGAAGGGUUGUACGUUAAUACCGUGCAAUUUUGACGUUACCGACAGAAUAAGCACCGGCUAACUUCGUGCCAGCAGCCGCGGUAAUACGAAGGGUGCAAGCGUUAAUCGGAAUUACUGGGCGUAAAGCGCGCGUAGGUGGUUCAGUAAGUUGGAAGUGAAAUCCCCGGGCUCAACCUGGGAACUGCCUCCAAAACUGCAUGACUAGAGUACGGUAGAGGGUAGUGGAAUUUCCUGUGUAGCGGUGAAAUGCGUAGAUAUAGGAAGGAACACCAGUGGCGAAGGCGACUACCUGGACUGAUACUGACACUGAGGUGCGAAAGCGUGGGGAGCAAACAGGAUUAGAUACCCCUUGUAGUCC